This 459-nucleotide ribosomal RNA is filed under the name uncultured bacterium. RNAcentral's name for it is "partial 16S ribosomal RNA". It matches the Rfam family "Bacterial small subunit ribosomal RNA", at positions 338 to 795 of the family's 1533-position model. The record is from RNAcentral.
CCUACGGUGAGCAGCAGUGAGGAAUAUUGGUCAAUGGGCGGAAGCCUGAACCAGCCAAGUAGCGUGCGGGAUGAAGGCCCUACGGGUCGUAAACCGCUUUUGCACGGGGAUAACACCCUCCACUUGUGGAGGUCUGCAGGUACCGUGCGAAUAAGGGCCGGCUAAUUCCGUGCCAGCAGCCGCGGUAAUACGGAAGGCCCGAGCGUUAUCCGGAUUCAUUGGGCUUAAAGGGAGCGUAGGCGGGCGUUCAAGUCAGCGGUAAAAUCGCGCGGCUCAACCGCGCCCCGCAGUUGAAACUGGACGCCUUGAGUUCACAACAGGCAGGCGGAAUUCGUGGUGUAGCGGUGAAAUGCAUAGAUAGCACGAGGAACCCCGAUUGCGAAGGCAGCCUGCCGGGGUGCGACUGACGCUGAGGCUCGAAGGUGCGGGUAUCAAACAGGAUUAGAUACCCUAGUAGUC